CUCCGGGCAUGAGAUAGCGCGUCUGAACUGCAACGCCCCCAUAGCCCAAUUGGCAGAGGCAGCGGACUUAAAAU
This 74-nucleotide transfer RNA is filed under the name Mycobacterium tuberculosis variant bovis AF2122/97. RNAcentral describes it as "tRNA-Leu". The record is from RNAcentral. Lineage: Bacteria; Bacillati; Actinomycetota; Actinomycetes; Mycobacteriales; Mycobacteriaceae.